UGAAAUCCCCGGGCUCAACCUGGGAACUGCGUUUGAGACUGCAUCACUUGAGUACGGAAGAGGGAGGUGGAAUUCCACGUGUAGCAGUGAAAUGCGUAGAUAUGUGGAGGAACACCGAUGGCGAAGGCAGCCCCCUGGGCCAAUACUGACGCUCAUGCACGAAAGCGUGGGGAGCAAACAGGAUUAGAUACCCUGGUAGUCCACGCCCUAAACGAUGUCAACUAGGUGUUGGGGGAUUAGACUCCUUUAGUACCGCAGCUAACGCGUGAAGUUGACCGCCUGGGGAGUACGGCCGCAAGGUUGAAACU
This 308-nucleotide ribosomal RNA is filed under the name uncultured bacterium. Its description in RNAcentral is "bacterial SSU rRNA". It matches the Rfam family "Bacterial small subunit ribosomal RNA", at positions 595 to 901 of the family's 1533-position model. The record is from RNAcentral.